UUUAAUUACUUUUCAAAAAGGCAACGACCUACAAGCCAAUGGGAAGUUGCGAUAUUUCUCUCCCUUAACCAAUGAGCGAGCAGGUUCUAGGACAUUGGUAGGAUGACAGGAGCGAACCGGUCUUCUCUCUCUUUUACUUCCUCAUCGCGAGUUAGUGAAGACGCAGCUUCUUUGGUUUGUCUGACAGUUACAAACAUACUGCGGGAAAAAAAAAAAUCAAAAAACCCCGGAUUCAACUACAGUCUUUGUGCGUCAUUGGAAUUUUUUUGCUGCGUCAUCGCCACAAUCGGCCGUUAGGAGGGCAGCUCGUGACAGCGCGGUUUGACCAACCGUUAACUGCGUGCCGCCAUCACCUUGUUCUGGAAGGCAGUGUGUGGCAGCGCAGGUUGGCUAACAACCGUUAGCUACGUGCCCUCAUCACCUUGUUCUGGCCGGGUCUUUUAUGCGGGAGUCGCCUUUCAUUGAGGACAUCGAGGGAGAUCGCUUGUGAAGCAUAUAUUUUUCCUUUUAUUUUUCCGCUCUCGACCUGUCGAGCCACAGGAGUGGUUGUCGAAGGAGAGACCGGUGGCGAGCUAACCUAAUUUUCGAACCUGAACUGGACACUUUUUUUUGUUUCAGCUGGGAAUCUGGUAGGAACUUUCCAUAAUACUCAACAGUGAUUUACAUGUGAGCUCACAUAGCGUUUUGGGACUGGAAUAAGACGUUGAAGGGAAAACACUAAGUGCACUUAGUAAAGUUAGGGUGUGUAAAGUAAGUUUUUGGGAUAAAUUGAGCAUUUGUUUCAUGCAUUUAACUUUUCUUUUCAAUGUACAUAUUGUAAAUAGUUUAAUAUUUUUGUUUUAUAUUACACACAAAAAACCCCACAAUUAUCUGUGUCUUGAGUUUUAUUUGCUUCUGCCGGGUGCACGCUGUCUCCUGUGAGUCGAGUCUAGCUUCUGAUGCACUGGUCCAAUAAAUAAACACAUUAUAAUCAGACA
Long non-coding RNA from Corythoichthys intestinalis (scribbled pipefish), 977 nucleotides. RefSeq lists it as uncharacterized. The transcript has 4 exons. NCBI's taxonomy places the organism in Eukaryota, Metazoa, Chordata, Actinopteri, Syngnathiformes, Syngnathidae. The record is from RefSeq and is a predicted model, not a curated record.